CACAGAAGAGUGGCUGUUGAGCAGCUUAAGUUGGCCGAGCCCUGGAGGAAGUGUGCGCUGGAGGCGAGGCUUUCCAUGUCAGGGUCCUAAAGAGUCUUACUAUAUUGCUCACGCUGUUCUCCACCUCCUGGGAUCCAAACGCCCAGGUCAGCUUCCAGAAUCGAAGGGAAGAUGGAUGUGUGUGCUACCUGCCUGGCAAGCCCUAAAGUCACAGAAACGUGGGUGCACUGAAUGUCUGUUCUACUAAAGAGUGUGGUCCUUCUGACCUUGGG
RNAcentral lists this long non-coding RNA (272 nucleotides) under Mus pahari (shrew mouse). RNAcentral describes it as "lncRNA (MGP_PahariEiJ_G0003478.1)". Lineage: Eukaryota; Metazoa; Chordata; Mammalia; Rodentia; Muridae. The record is from RNAcentral.